UACGAAGGGGGCUAGCGUUGUCCGGAAUUAUUGGGCGUAAAGGGCUCGUAGGCGGUUUGUCGCGUCGGGAGUGAAAACCAUGGGCUUAACUCAUGGCUUGCUUUCGAUACGGGCAGACUAGAGGUAUGCAGGGGAGAACGGAAUUCCUGGUGUAGCGGUGAAAUGCGCAGAUAUCAGGAGGAACACCGGUGGCGAAGGCGGUUCUCUGGGCAUUACCUGACGCUGAGGAGCGAAAGUGUGGGGAGCGAACAGG
Molecule: ribosomal RNA, 253 nt
Filed under: uncultured bacterium
Lineage: Bacteria
Description: partial 16S ribosomal RNA
Rfam family: Bacterial small subunit ribosomal RNA
Source: RNAcentral